This 91-nucleotide transfer RNA is filed under the name Ganoderma leucocontextum. RNAcentral's name for it is "tRNA-Leu". It matches the Rfam family "tRNA". Rfam says of the family: Transfer RNA (tRNA) molecules are approximately 80 nucleotides in length. The record is from RNAcentral. Lineage: Eukaryota; Fungi; Basidiomycota; Agaricomycetes; Polyporales; Polyporaceae.
GGCAGUGUAGCCAAGUGGUUACGGCGUCACGUUUAGGCCUUGAGCAAACCGUGAUGGGUUUCCCGCGCGAGUUCGAAUCUCGUCACUGUCA